RNAcentral lists this ribosomal RNA (758 nucleotides) under uncultured bacterium. RNAcentral's name for it is "bacterial SSU rRNA". It matches the Rfam family "Bacterial small subunit ribosomal RNA", at positions 8 to 796 of the family's 1533-position model. The record is from RNAcentral.
AGAGUUUGAUCCUGGCUCAGGAUGAACGCUGGCGGCGUGCCUAACACAUGCAAGUCGAGCGAACCCUUCGGGGUGAGCGGCGGACGGGUGAGUAACGCGUGGGUAACCUACCCUGUACACACGGAUAACAUACCGAAAGGUAUGCUAAUACGAGAUAAUAUAUUUUAAUCGCAUGGUUAAGAUAUCAAAGCUCCGGCGGUACAGGAUGGACCCGCGUCUGAUUAGCUAGUUGGUGAGGUAAUGGCUCACCAAGGCGACGAUCAGUAGCCGACCUGAGAGGGUGAUCGGCCACACUGGAACUGAGACACGGUCCAGACUCCUACGGGAGGCAGCAGUGGGGAAUAUUGCACAAUGGGCGAAAGCCUGAUGCAGCAACGCCGCGUGAGCGAUGAAGGCCUUCGGGUCGUAAAGCUCUGUCCUCAAGGAAGAUAAUGACGGUACUUGAGGAGGAAGCCCCGGCUAACUACGUGCCAGCAGCCGCGGUAAUACGUAGGGGGCUAGCGUUAUCCGGAAUUACUGGGCGUAAAGGGUGCGUAGGCGGUCUUUCAAGCCAGAAGUGAAAGGCUACGGCUCAACCGUAGUAAGCUUUUGGAACUGUAAGACUUGAGUGCAGGAGAGGAGAGUGGAAUUCCUAGUGUAGCGGUGAAAUGCGUAGAUAUUAGGAGGAACACCAGUAGCGAAGGCGGCUCUCUGGACUGUAACUGACGCUGAGGCACGAAUGCGUGGGGAGCAAACAGGAUUAGAUACCCUGGUAGUCC